AAGCACUCCUUUCAUGUCCUUCAUUGAAAAGAUUAUGAAAAUAACCUCUCCAUCUGUCUUUAACCGCAUUCUCUGUAGCAAGAACUUUUCCAUCCUCAUCCUUGAUGCACCUCACUUGGUUUAGGUCCCUUGUCUUCUUUUCCCUUGCUCUAGCUAGUUUAUAGAUAUCCAACUCUCCUUCUUUGGUAUCUAGUCGUUUAUACAUAUCGUCGUAAGCCGCUAACUUAGCUUCUAUCACAGCUUUCUUCGCCUCUUGCUUCGCUUUUCUAUACCUUUCACCAUUUUCAUCAGGUCCUAUCCUUGUAUAAGGCUUUACAACAUUCCUUCUUAGCCUUCACCUUUGUUUGUACCUCCUCAUUCCACCACCAAGAUUCCUUUUGGUGUGGGGCAAAGCCCUUAGACUCUCCUAAUA
This 412-nucleotide long non-coding RNA is filed under the name Malus domestica (apple). Its description in RNAcentral is "long non-coding RNA (MDOM_LNC009417)". The record is from RNAcentral. Lineage: Eukaryota; Viridiplantae; Streptophyta; Magnoliopsida; Rosales; Rosaceae.